RNAcentral lists this long non-coding RNA (200 nucleotides) under Ananas comosus (pineapple). RNAcentral describes it as "long non-coding RNA (ACOM_LNC039768)". Lineage: Eukaryota; Viridiplantae; Streptophyta; Magnoliopsida; Poales; Bromeliaceae. The record is from RNAcentral.
GAAGGCUAUGUUGGACCGUUGACUAAAUCCGGCAUUAGCGUGGAUGAAAAGAUGAUGAAAACAUGUUUGAAAACAUGUUUGGAGAGUCUCGGUUCGAUUUGAAAAGAAACGGAGGUCAAACGAGCGAAAACGAGCGAAAACGGAGUAAAAAAGGAUAAAGGCUGAAAAUGCUGAAAAGUUGGCUAAGUCUGGAAUUCUGG